GAUGAACGCUGGCGGCGUGCUUAACACAUGCAAGUCGAACGAAGCACUUUACUUGAUCUUUUCGGAGUGAUUGUUUUGUGACUGAGUGGCGGACGGGUGAGUAACGCGUGGGUAACCUGCCUCACACAGGGGGAUAACAGUUGGAAACGGCUGCUAAUACCGCAUAAGCGCACAGUACCGCAUGGUAUGGUGUGAAAAACUCCGGUGGUGUGAGAUGGACCCGCGUCUGAUUAGCUAGUUGGCAGGGUAGCGGCCUACCAAGGCGACGAUCAGUAGCCGACCUGAGAGGGUGACCGGCACAUUGGGACUGAGACACGGCCCAAACUCCUACGGGAGGCAGCAGUGGGGAAUAUU
This 354-nucleotide ribosomal RNA is filed under the name uncultured bacterium. RNAcentral's name for it is "bacterial SSU rRNA". It matches the Rfam family "Bacterial small subunit ribosomal RNA", at positions 28 to 365 of the family's 1533-position model. The record is from RNAcentral.